UCCCCUGUGGUGUAGGCGGUUAGCAUACGAGGUUUUCACCCUCGCGACCCGGGUUCGAGUCCCGGCGGGGGAG
This 73-nucleotide transfer RNA is filed under the name Scenedesmus sp. NREL 46B-D3. It matches the Rfam family "tRNA". From Rfam's summary of the family: Transfer RNA (tRNA) molecules are approximately 80 nucleotides in length. Their secondary structure includes four short double-helical elements and three loops (D, anti-codon, and T loops). The record is from Rfam by way of RNAcentral. Lineage: Eukaryota; Viridiplantae; Chlorophyta; Chlorophyceae; Sphaeropleales; Scenedesmaceae.